GCCCAGUUUAUUUUUUUAUUAUUAUUUUUUUGCAUUCUCAACUAAUUCUAAGCCCCCUGGGGUAGGAGCCGUGCCUCAUCACCUCUCCUUCCAAAGCGCCUGUGGGUAAAUGACAGGAGCUCUCUGUGUGUCUCCCGAACUUGUCUUCAUCCUUGCUUCAUUUUCUUUCUUUUUCAAGAUGGCAAGAGAAGGCAGGCUCCUCAGUUCCCCACGAACUCUUCAGGGGUUUCUGCGGCCCAGACCUUUCCCCAGCUCUCUUUAGUCACCUCUGUGUAUCCCAGAGUGGACUUGGGGGAGCCAGCGCUUAGGGCUGGCCACUACCUUCCCGUCAUUCUCUCUCUGCGGCCAGCAUAUUUUAGCCUGUGAGAAACACCGAGCCGCUGCCUGAGGCCCUUCCAGAACACUCAGCCCUGGUGUUGCCGCUGGCUGCAAUUGGCAUCAUUGAGAGGCACCUGCCGGGUUUUUGAAUCAGUGGUGUAAGGGUGGCCACACACCACCUCUCAUGGUCAGAAAAGAAUGCAGACUUGGGCUGUAGGGGGCUGUCCUCCCGGCAGGUGGAGAAUGAGAUCGACUCCCCAGGAAAGCAAAGACAGUCAGCUCAGGGGCUGAUGGAGGGGCAGACAGCUCUGGGCACUGGGAACCCCCCUUCCAGUGUGCGAGGUCCUGGCUCCCAGCCCGCUGAGCUUCCUGGAGUGUCGUUCAACUCCAGGUCAUGUUCGGCCCCCCAUCGAUACGGCACCAGCUUGCUGCCACUGGGGUCUUUAUGUCCAACAUGGUCCCUCAGGGCUUGCUGUCCUCCCCUGCAGAGUGAAAUCCUGGACCUGUCAUCUCCAUGUUCCCCUGCAGUGGAAGCUGCGAUUCUGCUGUGAGCCCUCUCUCACUGGAGAAGCGGCUUGGUGUGGGCCCUUGAGGAGUAAUCCGUGUGCUGAGCCGUGAAGCUUCUUGUCCCUCUAGGAACCCCUGUUGCUCCGGCAAGGUGGCUGUCAGGCAGGUCCACUGAGUGCCCUGAGGAGCGCAGUUUCUCUCUUUGUUCCUGCGGGGCCAGGGUCUGUUCUCGCAGAUGGGCUUCGGCCCAGAGGUGAGUUGGCUGGAAAGGAGCCCUGAGAGAGGGCAGCCCCUCUCGCCUUCCCUAGCUCUGAAAACACUCAGCUCUGCACAGCUGUCAAAGCAAGAGGCACGGCUAAGCCCACAAGGCUCCAGCCACUUAAUGAGGCCUUUAGCCAUCUCUUCCCCUGGCCUCUGAGAGUGUAAACCACAGGUGGGGAGGAGGCCCUGGGGCACUUGUUUCUUCAUCUGAAAGACACGGAAGGUGUUUUCUUGCACCUUGUGGUGGAUCACGGGUGGCUGUUGGUUACAGGCAGCUCUGCAGUGUGGCUGAGAGGCUGGGCUGCUGCUGGGUGAGGCUGGGCUGCUGCUGGGUGAGGCUGGGCUGCUGCUGGGCGUGAAACUUCAAAUCCUGAUCACUGGGCCCUGCGUACCUGUGUUAUCCUGGACAAAGGGGCCUUCUUGGCAUCAGAUUCCUGCCCCAUGGGUGGGAAUGGUUGCUGACCUCACCUCGAAGGGCUGCAGAGAGUCUAAGAUAGGGUCACGCAUGCCCAAGGUGCAGUGCAGAGGCCUCAGGCCACACACAGCAAGGGCAGCCAUUGCCGCUCACCCCGCCCUAAUCAUCACAUUCACGUGGUACAUGAGAACAGCCAGCUGCUUCUCGAGUUCUAACCAGGCCCCCCAAACUUCUCUACCUCCAAGGACACACAGACCAUGAUGAACUUUGUCUGGCUCAUGGAGUUGGGAGGAUGAGGCUGCUGGAAGCCUCUGAGACAGCCUGGGGGCUCCGACUGGCCCCACCCACCAGGCUGCCUUGAGCACCCAGCAGGGGCACAGGUUUGACAGUUUUCCUUCCAGCUGUAACUCCAGUCUGAGAUCUGACAAAAAGCAGGUAUCCAUCCAUCCAUCCAUCCAUCCAUCCAUCCAUCCAUCCAUCCGACAAAUGAUAUGGAACACAACUGCUAUUCAUCUGCCAGCUUCCUUCAUUAUAAAAGUUGCAAUAGAGUGGGGGUGACAGAAAAUGAGCAAGGGGAAAAUAAGCACAUUUGUGACCGAAGAGGGAGCAGUGGGGCUGGGUUACACCUGGGGCCUGGACGCUCCACUCUGGUGGUUAGUGGAAGUCUCCCUGCAAGGUGGACUUCAGACCAGGCUGAAGGAGAGGAAUCCAGAGAACACCCGAGGAGCCAGUGAGACCAAUGGCAGCAGCCGUGAUUGAUUUGGCAGUGAUUGGGUGCCUGGCACCGCCCAGGGGUUUUGAACCCACAUCCCUCAUUUCAUGUCACACUCUGCUGGCCUGUGGCUGUCUCUACUCUCUGCAGUGGGCCUCUGAGGCUGAGGAGGUCAUAGGACCCCGUCAGUCACUGGGGGAAGCAUGGUCCCUAGCACGGCUGCCUGACUCUGAGGCUGUGCUUGGAGUGGACCUCAGGGCUAGCCCAGCUUUCUUCAUCAAGUGCCACGUCCCGUGAUGUCCCGGGAUGAAGAAGGGCUCCCUCUCACAGUGUCUCCCUCUGGUGUCCAUAAGGCGAGAGGUGGAGAGGGCUUUCUUGGUUGAGCAGGUGGUCUCAGAUGUCCUAUUUGGCAAAUGGGGGGCAUACGCUCAUCUCCCAGAAUUUCUAUGAAGGUUCAAUGAAAUCUUGAUGAUGUGAAAAUUCUGGGAGUCCAGCCAAGGACAGCAUCCAAGGUAGUUGCUUACCAGAGUGUGUGUGCAUUUUCUGUUUGUGUAUCUGCACACCUCUGGGGGUGGAAGUCCCUGCUGGGCGGCACGUCCACAGGCCCACGAAAACCUCCCAGACAGCGGGGCAGCUUCCACCGUGGCCACCUGGGAAGGCCCCGUGUCUGCUUCCUCCUUGUGGGUGGAGGGAGGGGGAAAGCGUUUCUUUUUUGUUUUGUAAUUCAGCAAGCCAGCCCUGCUUCCCAGGCCUCCCACCACACUUUCUGCCACCUUCUCUGACCUACCUGACUAGGAAGUCAUCCUUCUUUCUUUGAGCAUUUUUUGGAUUAAAAAAAACAAAAACAAUAAAACUGGCCAUUCCCGACAAGCAAUCCUCUUGUUUAUUGAUUUGCCCUGUCAGGUUCUUUUAUGCAGACAUACAUUUAAGAUAAAACUUCAGUCUCUCCUUUCAUGACAAUCAAUAAUGCAUUGUGCUUUCUGGAGCAUUCCUGUGUCCAUGUGAGAUCUGUGCUGGCUCUUGG
RNAcentral lists this long non-coding RNA (3237 nucleotides) under Homo sapiens (human). RNAcentral describes it as "HSALNT0270097". The record is from RNAcentral. Lineage: Eukaryota; Metazoa; Chordata; Mammalia; Primates; Hominidae.